ACGCUGGCGGCGUGCUACACAUGCAAGUCGAGCGGUAACAGGUGUAGCAAUACAUGCUGACGAGCGGCGAACGGGUGAGUAAUGCUUCGGAAUCUACCUUAUGGUGGGGAAUAACUAGCCGAAAGGUUAGCUAAUACCGCAUACGUCCUACGGGAGAAAGCAGGGGAUCGCAAGACCUUGCGCCGAUAGAUGAGCCGAAGUCGGAUUAGCUAGUUGGUGAGGUAACGGCUCACCAAGGCGACGAUCCGUAGCUGGUCUGAGAGGACGACCAGCCACACUGGGACUGAGACACGGCCCAGACUCCUACGGGAGGCAGCAGUGGGGAAUAUUGGACAAUGGGGGCAACCCUGAUCCAGCGACGCCGCGUGUGUGAAGAAGGCCUGCGGGUUGUAAAGCACUUUUAGUGGGGAUGAAAUGUGCAGGGUUAAUACCUCUGCAUUUUGACCUAACCCACAGAAAAAGCACCGGCUAACUCUGUGCCAGCAGCCGCGGUAAUACAGAGGGUGCAAGCGUUAAUCGGAAUUACUGGGGCGUAAGCGUGCGCAGACGGUUGCGNUAGUCAGAUGUGAAAGCCCC
This 576-nucleotide ribosomal RNA is filed under the name uncultured bacterium. RNAcentral's name for it is "bacterial SSU rRNA". It matches the Rfam family "Bacterial small subunit ribosomal RNA", at positions 33 to 604 of the family's 1533-position model. The record is from RNAcentral.